AUGGCGUCCUCUCGCAUCCUCCUCCUAGCCGCGAUCCUCCUGGCUCUGGCUUCUGCCCAGGCGCGUGGCCAGAGCAUGCCGCCUUCACCGGCAACAGCCGCUCGCGGUGGCAAUUGCACGUUGAAUGGCGCAGUCAUGCUUGGAGUGUGUCUUAAACUUCAACAGGGCAGGACAAGCCCGGCCGACAAGAACAAGUGCUGCCAUCGGAUCUAG
RNAcentral lists this ribosomal RNA (213 nucleotides) under Triticum aestivum (bread wheat). RNAcentral's name for it is "partial small subunit ribosomal RNA". Lineage: Eukaryota; Viridiplantae; Streptophyta; Magnoliopsida; Poales; Poaceae. The record is from RNAcentral.